This 2323-nucleotide long non-coding RNA is filed under the name Homo sapiens (human). RNAcentral's name for it is "HSALNT0215023". The record is from RNAcentral. Lineage: Eukaryota; Metazoa; Chordata; Mammalia; Primates; Hominidae.
AUUAGCUUUGUCUGAAAGGGGCAAGACAGUGCAAAAUGAUGAAAGGCCUUUGAACUUUCAACCUUCUACAGGCAGGAAACAGGAUACAGAGGCUGAGCCUCAAACAUGAGGUAUUUUUAUGGAAAAGGAAGCGUGACCCAGGCAGAAUCAAGAUCUCAAAAGACACAGCAAGGGGCCAUGGUGAAUUAUCCCCAGGAGCAGAUUGAGAGUGCCAAUUGUUUUAAAUUAUGUGUGUCUCACAAUUUUAUGUUGUGUGUGGAGAAGUGGGAGGAGAGAACUUGUCUCUUCCCUUCGCAUCUUCUUCUCUCAAUCUUCUCUCUUCUCUCUUCAAUCUUCAAUCUUCUCUCAAUCUUCUUCAGAUUGAGAGAAACUACACACUUCAGGAAGGACGUUUAAGGACGCUCCUCUGUACCGUGACUGAUUUAAGUGAGGGUAUCUGGAUUUCAAGGAGGUGUUGCAGUUGGAUGAGACUUUGGGAGUCAUAGGGGAGGUGGGUGUAUUUUUCAUGUGUGAGGGAAAAUGAAUUGUUGAGGCCAUAGGGUAGACUGCAGUGUUUUUUCUCCGACAUGGCUGCCGUCCUUCCUUCUUUCCCUCUGUGAGUAUGCUGCACCAUCAUCAAGAGAUAGAGUCUAUUUCUCCCUUCUUGUGAAUCUUGGCUUGUUUUACUGGCUUUCUUGACUAAUAGAACGUAGAAGUGAUGUGCUGGAAUUUUCAAGGCUAGUUCAUAAGUAAUCUCCCAGCUUCUGUCUUGGGCUCUUGGAGCCCUGAGUCACCUUGUACGAUGUACAAGCACUCUGCUAGAGAGACUAUGUGGAAAAACCCUGAGACAGUAUGUGGAGAGAUAAAGAACCAGCUAAGUCCUGCCUCCUAGCUAUCCCCACCAUUGUGCCACACAUGAGUGCAGCUGUCUUGGAUCAGUCCAGCCCAGCCCAGCCACCUAGUGAAUACUUCUGAGUGAUCCCAGUUGAUGCUGUGUGGAGCAGAAAAAAUCACUCAGGCAUGCCCUGCCUGAAUUCCUAACCUGAAAACUAUGAAGAAACCAAAGCCAGAGAGAUUAGGUCAGCUAUUCAAUGUCACUGAGGAAGUAGCAGAACCAGAAUCCUACAUCUAGGUCCUGCACCCAGGCUCUGGACAGCAACACUUACAUCUGCAAUGACCCUAAGAUGCAAAUGGUACAGCCAUUGUUUUACAAAAGAAGAAAAUGAGGCACAAGAAGAGGAAUGGGCCUGCCCACGAUUAUCCAGGAAUCGGGCCAGAUCAGAAUCAAGAAUCAUGUCAAGCUGGAAGCCCUUGGAGGGCUUCUAUCUAAUCCCACUAUUUAGUGGCCAGGGAAACUGCUGCACAGAAGGGAAAUGCAUCUUGCACAAUGGCAACAGCUAGAGAGCAUGGAGGGGCUGUGAUUAAACCUCCUGGGAGCUGUUCCCACCCAACACUCACAAGGAUCCUCAGCCCUUAGGGUUUUUUUCCCAAGAGACGGGGCUGUCCCCACAAUGCUCUGUGGUCCCAGACACAAGAAUAGGCUGAUGCUCCUGCAGUCAGCUUACCUGCCGUCUGGGUCACUAAUGGUGUCCCAGUUCUGGGCUCUUGCUGUCAGGGGCUUUAGAGACGCUCAUCUCUCCUUGAAAGCAGGGGUUUGUGCUGCUUUAAAGUAGAUGGAGGAGGUGGGAAGUGAAAAGACACCUCUUUUAACUUCAGAUAGACCUGGGAUCUAAUCUGACUCUGUCACUUUCCAGGUGUAUGAGCCAGGACAAGUCAUUCAUCUCCCUGGUCCUCAUUUUGCCUCAUACAUAAAGUGAUGUUUAUGUAUGAGAAUUUAGUGAAAUAAGUCUCAACACCAAACCUUACAUCAAAAGGAUCUGAGAGGGCAACUCUUUUGAGGGAGGGGUUGGCAGGUGUUGCAAAUUCAAAGGCUUCAGGUGAUAGGCCAGUGAGGAAUACAUGUUUCAUACCCGGGGCUGAGACAAUAGGGAGUGGUGGGGCCUGUGGCUGAACCAGCGAGAGCAGGCUCUGCCGAGCAAUGGUCAAAGUCAACGUCAUCCACAGCAACACAGAACCUGCCCUGCCCCACAGUGAUCCUUCUACUCCAGAUAUGCCCAGGCUUCGGACCACCAGCCUGCAGCCCCCUAGGUAGAACCUGCCGUCUUCACAGAUGGGAAAACUGAGGUCCUAGCUGAGGAGAAUAUGCCCGGCAGCCACAUUGUUAACUACUAGUCACAAAACCAAAACCAUCAUCUUAACAAAAUACAAAGAAAAAGGUGUCCUUGAAUUUGGGAAAUGAAAAACUGGAGAAAAAAAGCUGGAAAUAACAAAUAUUGAGAUUCUU